CAAAAUUCGUGCCAGCAGUCGCGGUUAUACGAUUAAUACAAGUGAAUAUUUUUGGUUGAUGUAGUUAUAAAUUAUUUUGAGUUUUAAUAAUUAAUUAUUAGGUGAAAUUUUAUUUUAUUUAUUUGCUCUUAAUUUUGAACCUAUGAAAUUUAUAAAAUAGACUAGGAUUAGAUACCCUAUUAUUUUAAAUGUAAAUUUUGUUUUACCUGGGUAUUAUUAGUUAAGGUCUUUAAACCCAAAGAAUUUGGCGGUAUUUCAUUCCAUUUAGAGGAACCUAUCUCAUGAUUGAUAGUACACGAUUUACUUUACUUAAUUUAUUUGUUUGUAUAUCUCCGUUAUCAGAAAAUCUUUUUGGAGAAAAAAUUUUCUUGUUUUUUUAUUAAAAUUUAUUUCAGGUCAAGGUGCAGCUUAUAGUUAAGUGUAUGAUGGGUUACAAUAAUUUUUUUUUAUUAUGGAUUUAAUUUUGUAAUAUUUUAAUGAAGGUGGAUUUAAUAGUAAUUUAAAUUAUUUAAUUUAACUGAUAUUGGCUCUGAAGUGU
Molecule: ribosomal RNA, 538 nt
Filed under: Locusta migratoria tibetensis (Tibetan migratory locust)
Lineage: Eukaryota; Metazoa; Arthropoda; Insecta; Orthoptera; Acrididae
Description: partial 12S ribosomal RNA
Source: RNAcentral